CUUGUGUGUUUUUUGGGGGGUGGGUAGCAGAUCUGCUUACAUCUCGAUUCCCUAUUAUCUAUUUUCUCUUUGCAGAUCCGUCUCCGCACUUCUAACCCCAUCCAGUCCACUUCCUGCACUUUACUGAAGGCAGAGUUGAAAUAAUUGAAUAUUAGGGACUCUGACACAGAGAGCACCUCCCUCCUUUGUUGCAUCUGAUGAAGUACACGUUUCAUCUUCAAAAUAAAAAUUUAUUCAAUCUGUAACAAGAACAUUGAAUCUGCACAUUUGCGCACAAGUUCACAUUUAAAAACAGUGGAGCACAUCAGUCAUAAAAAAAUCUAUGAUACAAGUGGAACAUCCCAACUACCAGGAAGAUUAAGGAAGGA
This is a long non-coding RNA of Symphalangus syndactylus (siamang), 368 nucleotides long. RefSeq lists it as uncharacterized. Lineage: Eukaryota; Metazoa; Chordata; Mammalia; Primates; Hylobatidae. The record is from RefSeq and is a predicted model, not a curated record.